GCGGAAGUGGCGGAAUUGGUAGACGCACCAGAUUUAGGUUCUGGCGCCGCAAGGUGUGAGAGUUUAAGUCUCUCCUUCCGCACCA
Molecule: transfer RNA, 85 nt
Filed under: Vibrio campbellii
Lineage: Bacteria; Pseudomonadati; Pseudomonadota; Gammaproteobacteria; Vibrionales; Vibrionaceae
Description: tRNA-Leu
Rfam family: tRNA
About the family: Transfer RNA (tRNA) molecules are approximately 80 nucleotides in length. Their secondary structure includes four short double-helical elements and three loops (D, anti-codon, and T loops). Further hydrogen bonds mediate the characteristic L-shaped molecular structure. tRNAs have two regions of fundamental functional importance: the anti-codon, which is responsible for specific mRNA codon recognition, and the 3' end, to which the tRNAs corresponding amino acid is attached (by aminoacyl-tRNA synthetases). tRNAs cope with the degeneracy of the genetic code in two manners: having more than one tRNA (with a specific anti-codon) for a particular amino acid; and 'wobble' base-pairing, i.e. permitting non-standard base-pairing at the 3rd anti-codon position.
Source: RNAcentral